UACGUAGGCAGCGAGCGUUGUUCGGAGUUACUGGGCGUAAAGGGUGUGUAGGCGGUUGUUUAAGUUUGGUGUGAAAUCUCCCGGCUCAACUGGGAGGGUGCGCCGAAAACUGGAAGGCUAGAGUGCGGGAUGGGAGAGUGGAAUUCCUGGUGUAGCGGUGAAAUGCGUAGAUAUCAGGAGGAACACCUGUGGUGUAGACGGCUCUCUGGACCGCAACUGACGCUGAGACACGAAAGCGUGGGUAGCAAACAGG
RNAcentral lists this ribosomal RNA (253 nucleotides) under uncultured bacterium. RNAcentral describes it as "partial 16S ribosomal RNA". It matches the Rfam family "Bacterial small subunit ribosomal RNA", at positions 524 to 776 of the family's 1533-position model. The record is from RNAcentral.